RNAcentral lists this ribosomal RNA (398 nucleotides) under uncultured bacterium. RNAcentral's name for it is "bacterial SSU rRNA". It matches the Rfam family "Bacterial small subunit ribosomal RNA", at positions 28 to 419 of the family's 1533-position model. The record is from RNAcentral.
GACGAACGCUGGCGGCGUGCUUAACACAUGCAAGUCGAGCGGGAUCCAACCGGUGGCAACACCGGGGAAGAUCUAGCGGCGAACGGGUGAGUAACACGUGAGCAACCUGCCCCGAAGACUGGGAUAACACCGGGAAACCGGUGCUAAUACCGGAUAUCCCCAUUAGGCCGCAUGACCUGAUGGGGAAAGGAUUUAUCGCUUCGGGAGGGGCUCGCGGGCUAUCAGCUUGUUGGUGGGGUAACGGCCACCAAGGCGACGACGGCUAGCUGGUCUGAGAGGACGACCAGCCACACUGGGACUGAGACACGGCCCAGACUCCUACGGGAGGCAGCAGUGGGGAAUCUUGCGCAAUGGGCGAAAGCCUGACGCAGCAACGCCGCGUGGGGAUGAAUGCCUUC